UUUACUUCAGUCAAUAGUUUAAAUUUUAUUAUGAUCAUUUUGUAAAUUUAAUUUUUUUUAAUCAAAAUCAUUUUCUUAAAACAUAUAAAAACAAGAAUUUUUCAAAGCAAUUAAAAGAAAGUAUCAACGUCACUUCAAAGAGCAACAACUCCUUAAAUACGAAACAUCAGAGGUUCCCCAAGCAGUUAAGCCUUCGGGUAUCCUUAGCUGUUUGGGUUGAUCCGGUUCCCCUGCGGAGUGUUUGUUCCCUAGCAGAGUUCCG
This 262-nucleotide long non-coding RNA is filed under the name Lathyrus oleraceus (garden pea). RNAcentral's name for it is "Pisum sativum (pea) long non-coding RNA (PSAT_LNC025110)". The record is from RNAcentral. Lineage: Eukaryota; Viridiplantae; Streptophyta; Magnoliopsida; Fabales; Fabaceae.